Molecule: ribosomal RNA, 427 nt
Filed under: uncultured bacterium
Lineage: Bacteria
Description: partial 16S ribosomal RNA
Rfam family: Bacterial small subunit ribosomal RNA
Source: RNAcentral
UGGGGAAUAUUGCACAAUGGGCGCAAGCCUGAUGCAGCCAUGCCGCGUGUAUGAAGAAGGCCUUCGGGUUGUAAAGUACUUUCAGCGGGGAGGAAGGUGUUGAGGUUAAUAACCUCAGCAAUUGACGUUACCCGCAGAAGAAGCACCGGCUAACUCCGUGCCAGCAGCAGCGGUAAUACGGAGGGUGCAAGCGUUAAUCGGAAUUACUGGGCGUAAAGCGCACGCAGGCGGUCUGUCAAGUCGGAUGUGAAAUCCCCGGGCUCAACCUGGGAACUGCAUUCGAAACUGGCAGGCUAGAGUCUUGUAGAGGGGGGUAGAAUUCCAGGUGUAGCGGUGAAAUGCGUAGAGAUCUGGAGGAAUACCGGUGGCGAAGGCGGCCCCCUGGACAAAGACUGACGCUCAGGUGCGAAAGCGUGGGGAGCAAACA